UCAGACUCGCAGUAACAACAUGGAGUUUCACUUUCAUUGUAACACCCGGAAACAUUGCUUUUAACGAUAUCUAGCGGAUUAUGUUUGUAUACACCAUCCUAUUUAACCAGGUCAUUCGUCGUUGAUGUUUUGUGAUUUAUGAUGGUUUGAUGGGAUCAGUGAUGUAAUUUUACCGCAUGCGUGUCAUCAACAAUCCCAUUGUAAACAUCGCGGCGAAAGAAAGAUGUGUGCCAAAGCUAUGACAGGCGCAAGCUAUCGUCAAAGAACGGUUCCAGAAUCUACUACAAAACGCAGGAAAAAGCAAUGGGCGUUGGACAACCCUUUAAAAAGACUUAAGAAGCAGCAUUGUAGGUGGACAGCUGCUCAACAUACGACCACACAGCGCAGAUUCUUCUCGAUAAGUGGUGUGUUUCAGUGACACAAGAAAUACAUGGUGUAGCCACUGACACACCUGGCACUUUAAUGGGGGUACAUGGCACUUCAAUGGAGACACCUAUACGUAGCACUUCUCGGUCUAGGAAGGCAUCACGCACAUAUACAGGGGCAUCGGUACUGAUAACAUCCACACCUACCCAUAAAGAACCUAGCCUAUCUGUAGAUACACUAAUGCCCAACGUCUCAGAUAUAGAAGCUCAGACAUCUCACUCAUCUGAUAUAUCUGGUGUGGGGAAAAUGCACUCAGACUAGGAAGUUUAUAAUGGUAAUAUUCAAUUGAGUAGCUAUUAAAGCAAAUCUAUACUAAAAAUAUUGAUGUACAGGACUGCAUUUUACACCAAAAUACCAUACAUGAAGCUUGCAAGAGGGACAACUUUACAAUGAGGAGAGAUGACAGACAAUAUUGAAUAACACUUCCCUCGCUACUCAUUUAUAAUUAUAACACAUGAACAAAUGGUUGUUUGAAUGAAAUAAUGAAUGUGUGAUUAAACUUCAGGAUGAGAUCGAUGAAUAUACCAUGUAAAAAACAAAAUAUGAAUGAAUGAAUGAACUAAUGAUUGUCUGAGACUCGGAGUGUGGUGUACGAGAGCCCUCCUGCGAGAGGACAUUUAUUGUAACGAAGCUAAUACCAGGACCAAAACCCUGGCAGCUUUAAAUUGCAAGUUUAAAU
Molecule: long non-coding RNA, 1105 nt
Organism: Mizuhopecten yessoensis (Yesso scallop)
Lineage: Eukaryota; Metazoa; Mollusca; Bivalvia; Pectinida; Pectinidae
Exons: 4
Source: RefSeq, a predicted model, not a curated record